GACGAACGCUGGCGGCGUGCUUAACACAUGCAAGUCGAACGGAAAGGCCCUGCUUUUGUGGGGUGCUCGAGUGGCGAACGGGUGAGUAACACGUGAGUAACCUGCCCUUGACUUUGGGAUAACUUCAGGAAACUGGGGCUAAUACCGGAUAGGAGCUCCUGCUUCAUGGUGGGGGUUGGAAAGUUUCGGCGGUUGGGGAUGUACUCGCGGCUUAUCAGCUUGUUGGUGGGGUAGUGGCUUACCAAGGCUUUGACGGGUAGCCGGCCUGAGAGGGUGACCGGCCACAUUGGGACUGAGAUACGGCCCAGAAUGCAACGGGAGGCAGCAGUGGGGAAUAUUGCACAAUGGGCGGAAGCCUGAUGCAGCAACGCCGCGUGCGGGAUGACGGCCUUCGGGUUGUAAACCGCUUUCGCCUGUGACGAAGCGUGAGUGACGGUAAUGGGUAAAGAAGCACCGGCUAACUACGUG
This 468-nucleotide ribosomal RNA is filed under the name uncultured bacterium. RNAcentral's name for it is "partial 16S ribosomal RNA". It matches the Rfam family "Bacterial small subunit ribosomal RNA", at positions 28 to 507 of the family's 1533-position model. The record is from RNAcentral.